UUCAAUCAAUAUCCCACAUACAGAGAUGUGUAAAGUUGAAGAGGAAGGGUAACACUUUAUAAUACCGUUCAGUUAUAAGUCAUUUAUAAAUGAUUAGUUAAUAGAGUGCCGAAGUUAUGACAUCACUUUGUAGGCCAAAACGCGGAAGUGAGUUAGCAUUUUAGCACCUCCGGUUCCCUCGCCCUAAAGUCUAUGGGUUUUUUGAAUGGGUUUUUGCUAAAUCGCCUGAAAUAAGGUCUGUGGUUAACAAAGCCUCUAAAUAUUUUCACGUUUUGAUCUAUGACAUAAAACAAACCAGUUAUAACCUGUUUGUGAUUUUUUAAAACUUUAUUGUGUCUUAAAAACGGUGGUUGCUAACAAGUUGCUAAAAGGGACUACAUCCUUUGGCGGGGACUUUAGACGUCAUCAUGACAAACAUGAAAUCUCUCACUAGCCUGCGUUUCAGCCUCACGUUCUUAGAAGUCUACCUUUCAGUUAAUAUACAUAACGUUAUAUAUAUUAUUAUUAUUAUUAAAUAAAUUAUAUAUUAUAUAUUUAGUCUAAUUGUCGUUUUUCCAAAUAUUGUUGUACACAGAAUUCUGUGAUAUUAAGGUAACCGUUUCCAGUUCUUUAUUUCUGUGGAGAGACUGUAGGUCGAUAAUGGUGUUUUGUUUUGUCCCGAGAUGCAACCACAAGUCGUCGAAUGAAAGAUGCUCGUUUUACCGUUUUCCGUCCGAUGUUACCCAGCGGAGACUCUGGGUUCGUGCCGUAAGACGAGCUGACCGGAAGCCCAGUGUCCAUUCUCGCAUCUGCAGCUGUCAUUUUCCUGCAGGGGAAAAAAAUGCCCCUGUUUUGUUUUUAGUUACCAAACGGAAGUUGUUUUCAGUUUACUUAUUUUAUGAAAAUAAAGAUGUUUACUACAACUCUUGCUGUAAGGUUUCUGUGGCUCAAUUAUUAGAGCAUUUUGUUAACUGUGCAAAAGGUUGCGAGUUCAAUUCCCAGAGAACACGCUGAUAUGUAUAGCCUGAAUACACUGUAUGUCGCCUGUCUGACAAAUACCAAAAAUUAAAUGUUAAACCAGUGCUUCCCAAACCUGUCCUGGAGGACCCCCUGCCCUGCACCUUUUGUAUGUCUUCCUUAUCUAACACACCUGAUUCCACUCAUCAGACCAAAUUGGGCGUGUCUGAUUAGGGAGACAUACAAAAUGUGCAGAGCAGGCAGUCCUCCAGGACAGGUUUGGGAACCACUGUGUUAAACUAUUCUAACUACACUCCAGUCAGCUCACAGUAAUGUGAAUGUGAGAUAAAAUUUACUACACUGGCUCUCACAUUGGGGCUUGUGGAUUACCAGGUAAAAAUAUACAGAAAAUGUGAACAAAAUGAGUAUGGUUUAAUUAUAAUAUAUUAUAAUAAGCAUUUGUUGAUGCUAUUGGACAAUUCUCUUUAAAUUCAACAUAUAUAAUUAUAUACAACUAUUAUAUUAAAUGUUUAGAAUUUAACUGUGUUAUGCUUGUUCAGAGAUUGUUUGUAUAGUUAUCUUAAAUACAUAGAACACUAGCGCGUUUUUUUUCUGGCGAAUUAGCAAAUGGUAUGCAAACAUACAAUCAAACAUAAUACAGUGAAAGAUAAUCUUUAAAGUUUAUUUGGGGCACAAUGAUCAGGCAUAAUAAUCUUAAUCACAAAGAAAAUAAUAUUAAGGUUUAUAUAAACUAACAAAAUAAACGAAUUAAUAAAACAUUAACA
Molecule: long non-coding RNA, 1721 nt
Organism: Cyprinus carpio (common carp)
Lineage: Eukaryota; Metazoa; Chordata; Actinopteri; Cypriniformes; Cyprinidae
Source: Ensembl